ACGGAAGGCAGCAGUGGGGAAUAUUGGGCAAUGGGCGAAAGCCUGACCCAGCAACGCCGCGUGAAGGAAGAAGGUCUUCGGAUUGUAAACUUCUUUUAUGAGGGACGAAGGACGUGACGGUACCUCAUGAAUAAGCCACGGCUAACUACGUGCCAGCAGCCGCGGUAAUACGUAGGUGGCAAGCGUUAUCCGGAUUUACUGGGUGUAAAGGGCGCGUAGGCGGGGAUGCAAGUCAGGUGUGAAAUCUAUGGGCCUAACUCAUAGACUGCACUUGAAACUGUAUCUCUUGAGUGCUGGAGAGGUAGAUGGAAUUCCUUGUGUAGCGGUGAAAUGCGUAGAUAUAAGGAAGAACACCAGUGGCGAAGGCGAUCUACUGGACAGUAACUGACGCUGAGGCGCGAAAGCGUGGGGAGCAAACAGGAUUAGAUACCCUGGUA
RNAcentral lists this ribosomal RNA (437 nucleotides) under uncultured Oscillospiraceae bacterium. RNAcentral's name for it is "partial 16S ribosomal RNA". It matches the Rfam family "Bacterial small subunit ribosomal RNA", at positions 341 to 792 of the family's 1533-position model. Lineage: Bacteria; Bacillati; Bacillota; Clostridia; Eubacteriales; Oscillospiraceae. The record is from RNAcentral.